UAAUUUGAGAGUUUGAUCCUGGCUCAGGAUGAACGCUGGCGGCGUGCUUAACACAUGCAAGUCGAACGGAGUUAAGAGUGGAAGUUUUCGGAUGGAAGCUUUUAACUUAGUGGCGGACGGGUGAGUAACGCGUGGGUAACCUGCCUUACACAGGGGGAUAACAGUUGGAAACGACUGCUAAUACCGCAUA
This is a ribosomal RNA of Anaerocolumna xylanovorans DSM 12503, 190 nucleotides long. It matches the Rfam family "Bacterial small subunit ribosomal RNA", at positions 1 to 175 of the family's 1533-position model. NCBI's taxonomy places the organism in Bacteria, Bacillati, Bacillota, Clostridia, Lachnospirales, Lachnospiraceae. The record is from Rfam.